Molecule: long non-coding RNA, 14603 nt
Organism: Cuculus canorus (common cuckoo)
Lineage: Eukaryota; Metazoa; Chordata; Aves; Cuculiformes; Cuculidae
Exons: 2
Source: RefSeq, a predicted model, not a curated record
AUAGUGUAAGCUAUUAAAUUUUGUUGCAGUUGUUGGUUUUUUUGAUAAUUAAAAAGAAAGCUUUCUAUGAAGUUAUUGCUCACAAAGAGUAUUCCCUUUGUUUAGUGACAGUUCUCCCUGUGUUAGUUGAGCUGUAAAAAGAUUUGAUGCUAAUAAUUGGCUAUAUUCCAGCUGAAAUUAUAUUUUGUAAUAAUUUAUUUCAGUUUUAAGAAUGGAAAUACUGUGAUAGUCCACUUUGAAAAGCUUAUGAAGGGUAACUGCAGACAUAAAAGAAAAAAAUACAGAUCAGUGUUAGCAUUUCAGAAGCAUCCUUUAUCCUAGGAAGCCUUUCAUCCCGUUUGUUAUCAAAACAAGUCCAAAAGUCUGAGUAUAAAUAAUGUCUCUUUUUCUAGAAGUUUCAGUAGAUACAGAUUUCCUAAAUCAUAUAGUUUGUUGAGCCAUAUUUAAAAAUUUUGCUAUCUUUUAGUCACAAAAUAUUGCCAGUUCUUAUAAUCCUUGAUUGACAAAUUUGUCUUCUUUAUAUUGUUUGAUGUUUAUUAUGUUCCAAAAGAUCAUUGAGAAAGUCCUCAAUGCUCAAAUCCUAACACUGCUUAUGUAUGUAAUAUAACAAAAUCCUAACGUGUGCCACAUCAGCCAUAUGUGUUUGAAUUACGGGAUCCCUGUUAUCAUCAUUUGUUUGUUAAGGUAAUAUGUGCUAACCUUAAUUUUGAAGAGUAGUACUAUUGAAUGUAUUCUGAGGAUCUUUGAGAGUACUUUGAAGAGGCCACUAUUAGUGGAAUCUGCUAUCCAGUGUAUGCUCCAAGCUUUCUUGUUAUUUUCUCUGUAUUUAUAUAUUAUUAAUAUUGCGUCUUUUAAUCCAUCAAAGGCUUUUUUGACUUCAGCGCACUGGGACAUGCUCACAUCCUACUGCUUUGGUAGCUAUGUGUAGGUAUCUUCUUUUUUUCUAUUUAGUGAUUUAUUUAUCUAUCACAUUUGCAGGUGCGAUUUAACAUGUGAACAGGAACUGGAUAAGGAGAGAAAGAAUGGGAGUGGUAAGAUCUAGGAUAUGGAUUAAAAAAACGUAGCUCUCAUGACUUUGGGGUGUGUUUCUAAUCCUACUAUUGAUUCAACAGCUUGUUUUUCAUUUGUAGGCUUGAUAAAGUCUGAAGCUUAGUGCUUGGAACCUUCAGCUCUGAAAAUCUGGUGCCCUUUGCUGACAGGCAGAUUUUAACAACUUCUGUUAUAUAUCAGCGAGUACUACCAUUUCAGAAAAAUGAGACCAUUUAGAAAUGCAUAACCUUUCUCAGUUCACACUGAUUGAAAUAACCCAAAUUCAGAAACUGCAGAAGAAAGCAGAACAUGAUGAUCAAGUGGAACUUCAGCUAAUUCUCUGGCUUUCUCCCCAGAAAAACAUAUACAUUAAUACAUCAUUAAAAUUAGUUGUCUUCUUACCCUCUGGCAGAGUUUGGAGUUAGAUCUCUUAAGUCAUAUUGUAAAAAGGAAAAAAACCAACAAAAAAUCAUGUAAAACCACCAAGCCAAAAGUCCAAAUAGAUUAAGUAGAUUCAGUACUCUGCACAGUAAUUUGUUCAUGUAACAAUAUAUUCCUUCUCAAAAGACUCGUGGUUCUUAGUUGAUCAGAAAUAUUCAUAAAACUCUCCUCAUAGCAAUUAAUUUGACUAAUAACCUAUACUUGGGCAGCACUAUAAAAACACCCUAAUUGCAAAAAACCAUAGUGAGAACUCACCCAUUAUAUCACUAUGGGGUGGCAAAUUAAGCUGAAUGAAUUAAUCUUGGCACUCUUUGUUCCUCUUUGAACGUGUUAAGUAAACAAAGUUCAAACUGAGGGGAGAACCUGUCUGAUUUAAGCAAGUGUAUUAGGUAUUUGUGAGACAUCACAGGGAAAAAAUAACAAGAAAUGAAAUUCAUGCUACUGAAGUGUGUGGAACCAAAUCUGACUGAGCUGUGGACUUUUGUCUAGGUGAAAAGUUCCUUUUAUUCAUAGAAGAAGGUCAAUGACUAGACAUAAAACUGGACUUCUCAACAUAUGAACAAUUUGCUGUUUUUCAGUAAACAAUAGGCUUCAUGGAACAAAGGAAAACAUAGAGCGGGCAAAGAAUUUCAUAUGUUGUUACAGUCUAAUCUCACUUUCAUGAAUUUAUCUGGAAAUUAAUUUAUUCACUUGGACAUAUCUCUGUUAAACUUGUAUGAAAAUGACCUUGACAAAGCAAAAAAUGAAGCAAGCUGCAGAACAUGAACUGACAACAUUCUUGGGAAACAUUUUUGUCUGUACACAUGGAAUUGUUUAGGCGUCAACGAUAAGAUAGCUGCUUUAAAUUCAGUGUCCAGAUUCUGCUGUGUUACACCCAUGCGAGUCUCAAUUAAAUUGUUUUUCUUUUUUUUUUUUUUUUUUUUUGCUUGAUGGAGCAUGAUUGAAACCAACUUGGUUGGAAACAAUUUGUAAAUCUCUACUUUGUAAUACAGGUAUUUCAAAUGCUGGGACUAUGCAAGUCUAAAUUUAGACAGAGGCUUUUUGCUCCUAAUUUCUCUCUGCUUCUUACUUACAUUCCCCUGCACUUCUCAGCUUCCAAACCUGAAACCAGAUCUGCUGGGAAGUGAGGGACGCUUUGAUCCCCUGCCUCCUGAAACAUCACAGCUACCUGGUAUCCUUAUAUUUCUGUGAAUUAUUUAAACCAUUUUCUCAAAAAAAGAUCUAUUUUGAUGUGGAAAUGUUGCUGUGGUGCUCCAUGGAUGGGAGCGCUCAAUGGCAGAGAAGCUAUCCCGAGGCCCUCCGCUGUAUUCUGCAGCCAGUAUGUCACACUGGUGAUGCUCUGUGACGAAGGGCUCCAGCUGUACCCUGCAGCAGCUCAGCCGCUGGUUUCGUGCAAAUGUCAGGAGAAUAUGAAACCGUGACCUUUCUCACUGUUGUAUUUCACUAAAUUCUAAUGGAAUGAGUGGUGAGUAGGUGGGAGGUGGAUCACUGUUACAAGGAAGAUUCAUCACAUUUUACACAGAAGUUACCUGGAAGAAAAAACAUUUCUUUUGAACCAUUUUAUUAGCGUUUAUUCUUUGAGGCUCAUUCUUGUGUCUUCUUAGCUGCAAAAGAAUGGAAAAACCUGCUUGCUCAUUCGCUCACCUACAAGGUAAUUAAAUCCUAGUUUAGUCAUUGCACUCGGCUGCAGAUGCGCAGGAGUGUGUGGUGGAGCUGUUCACUUAAAUGGCUGUUUUACUGCUGCUUCUUCUCUGGGACCACAGAACCAUAGAAAAUAUUGGGAAGACAGAUUGGAACUCAGAGGCAUCCCAGACCUACUAACAGCAGCACAAUGAAAAUUGGAGACCUUGAAUGAUAAUAAAACAACUGAGUUGGUAAAAACUCAACUGAUGGAUCUCUCAUGUGGAACAUAUUGUGUCUACAAUGUUACAGGUCAUUUCCUUUGCCUUUCACUAUAAACAUGUUUUUCAAAUUGGUUUCAAGUUGGUCCAGCUGCUUCAAGCACGGUAUAUGGAAAGCAUAUUAAUAUGACAGAUAACUAGCAGCUGUUGUUGGAAAAUUGACAAAGCAAAGGGUAGAUGUUGCUUCGGAGGAUGAACUUGUGCUUUUAGGCAAAACAUCUUCCUUGAUAUUUUGCUUCUCUUUGAGUUUUGUCUUACAAGGGCUGGACCAGUGACAUUAAGAGGACACAUUCUUUCCAGAUACAGCUCUAGCAAACGUAGCCAUGCCAUACGCGAAACAGAUAUGUUGAGGGAUUGAUUGUUCGAAGCACUGACUGACAGAGAAAUUGUGUUCUUCAUCUCUUCGCAAUUGCUCUUUCUGUUAAAGAAGUUACUGUCAUCUGUUAACCCUGCCUCUGAUUUAUUCAUACCCAUAGAAGUACUUCUGUAUUGAAGAUCUGGCCAUAGAGGAUGUAGCAAUACAUAUGCUUCUGAUGAAAGGCUGUGUUCCAGAGGUGCCUUUUAAUCUAAUCCAUUUAACCAUGUGCUGCCUUCUAUCUCUUCAAUUCAGACUUUGUUUUAAAACUUAUUUUUUUCUCUAAAUGCAGUUUGGUUGAAACACAGCAAAGCACUUUUUAUGACUGAAAGAAAUAUAAUUCUCCUUUCUAAUCCUGUUUUUCUUUCUUCUUUUGUCUCAAGCUCUGUGUGCUUGGGCUAAGAAGGAGAGAAAAGCACCACAAUCCAUUUAACUGGCAACAUUACAUUUUUAUUUUGUAUUUAAAUCUAUCAAGACUCAUACUGCUUCAAGUUUAUUGUUGUUAUUACCCUACAAGUUUCACACAAUUCACAUUGCCUAUAGCUGUCAAAUACCAUACAGCUUCCUAAAUAGAGAGAAUAAACAUACAUGUACUUUGAUCUACUUCACUGCUUCAAAGUUUAAAAUGCACUGAGAGCUUUUCAUGGGAUUUCAAAAAACAGUUACUGAGAGGAGUAAUUAUGAAAGGAGUAAUUUUCUCGCUGAUGUUAUUUUUCUAUAAUUGAGAGUUAGGCAGUUAGAGCAUUAUGUUUCUCCCCCCCCCCCCCCAGUGUAAUAUACAUGGACUUUUGAUUUAUACAACUUUUCUUUUAUAAUUCACUCUGCCCUGAGGAACUGCAGCGAGGCAGAAGGCUAGAAGACUAGAAGAAUGCAGACAAACUAUGGAAGCAUCUAUAAGUAACCUGACAAGCACAAAGCAUUAAAAAAAUACAGAAAAAUCUGCAUUUCAAAUAAACUUGCAUCAGGAGUUCUUAAGCUUGUUUCUGGCCUAGACCACAUCGUUAGAGAAAGAUUGCCUUAUGUAGUCUGUUUAUGCCCAUUCCGAAAUUGUGCUGACCUUCAUUCCUUUCAUAAUUUUCUAGCAUUACAGCAGCAAUUACUUAUAUGGAAAAAGGGUUUAAUGCACAUUAUACUUCUUUUUAUGCAGUUUAGCAUCUGGAAACUUGGAGGAAAGAGUCUGUUUCCUAGGGACCACAUAUUGCGAAGUGCUGACUUAGGCCACAAUCCCAUGCAGUAACAAGGAUGCGAAUGUACAGAGCUCUUUGCAGAUCAUUACAGAGGGCUAUGUAAUGUUACAAGUUGAUUUUGUAAAGUUGCUUAAUACUAUUUCAAGUACUUAUUUGCGGGUUUUUUUCCCAUUUGUCCCAGAUUGCACAUUAAUAAAAUAUCUAGUUAAGGUUUAUACCUCCUUAGGAAAAAUGUAAUCCUGUUAUGAAUUAGCUUCAUGCUGAGCAAAAAGAAAAGAAAAAGAAAAUAUUGUUUGCUUAAAAAGAAAAAUUGAUGUUCUCCAAAGAACAGAAGUGAAACUUCUUAUUUACUUUUUUUUUUUCCUCUUAGGUCCUCUCAUGUCUUGUUUCAACUAAAUUCUGAAAGAACUAAAUUAUUUCACAUUGUUGUUUUUAACUCUUGUAUGGUUCCUUAAAGGAUAAUUUCUGAUUUGUUUGCCAGUUAGACCAAGUUUUUAAGACUGGAGGAGAGAAGGGAGUUCUAUGUUACAUUUAGGGUCAAAUAGUUUGUAAUCUAAGAACAUUCCUCAUUGCAAAUCCGCAAGUUUUGAAGAGUUUUAUACUUUUUGCAGGUUUCUAGCAUCAACGUUUCCAAGGUUUUACAAACUCUGCAGGAAAAACGAUGAAACUUGUAAAGCACAUUUGUUCACAAUACAAACAGUUCAUCAUAAGCAUGUCACUGAGGCUCAUGCCUCUGUCAGAAUGCACAAAUAACAGCAUAAAGCAGAGUCUCUCCUUCCAUCUUUGAACCCUGUAUCCCGCUCUAUCAGAUUUUGUAAGCUGUUUGGUGAGUGAGACUGCAAGUUCUGAAAGAGUCGAAGGUAGUUCAAGAGUAUAGAUCUUAAUGAUUUGCUGUGAAACACCACCUAUUAGAGGAGUACCAUCCCAAGGGACAAGGAGCCUAAACCCAUCUCAAAUUGUGCUGACACUCUGCUAAGGCCUUUUCUAAUUGCUUCAACCUUAUCACAGGCUGUAUUUGUCUGCCGUAAAUUACUGUUGUCAGUAUCAUGAACUGUGCCCUUAGCACAAGGCCAAUGCUGUUUCUAAUGUCUGGCAGUGAAUUUGCCUGCUGGUAUGAACAGCAGCAAGAAUGGAGAAAUCUGAAGCUGAUGUCUAAUUAGUGAAUUAUUUCAUCAGUUUGCCCUCUGCCUCAAAAGUAGCCUCUAAAACCAAUAGAAAGUUUCCCACUACUUGGCUAGUCCAUCACUUUGACCCAAAGCUGGAUAACCUGUGUCACUCCUCACAGAUGUCCGAAGUACCUGUUCUUAAAACUUUCCAGUGCCAAAGUUUCCUUUCAUAGGUGUGGCAAAAAGAAAUCAUAACUUGCCUGUAAAAAGCUGUUUAAAAAUGGAUAAAAUCGGUUGAACUUCGAAACAAAGAAACCAGUGGUUUCUAGACUGGUGUCUAGGCUAACAAGCCGAGAAGAAAAUGGAAAAGGAGUGCAGCUACAAGUUCAGGGCUGUAAACUCCCCGUUUGACCCAUCUCCUAAAGAUCUUUAUCACUAGGCCAAUCCAGACUGUGCUGCACAUCUCUUCCCUGCCUGUUUUUUUGAUGUUUGCCAGGUGGGCUGUUGAGGUUUGGAAGAAACUUCUUGUUUAAUCUUAAAUCACCUGAAACCUCCAGCUAAAUUCAGACUAGCCCCCAGGUGAGAAUGAAUCUUAAAAAGCAGUCAGGUGCUAAAAUGUGACUGAAAUGACUUUGGCGACUCUAACCACAGCAUUCCCCCAUUAUGAAUUCUGAAGCGUGAUUUAUGUUGGAUGCAACACUUGUGUGGAAAGCUUUUGUAUCCUGGUCUCCCCUACAGCCAGCUCGCAGACCUGGAGACCACCACCAGAGUAAUUUCCAACCUUUCAGCUUUUUUCUUUCAGGAUUGGGCGCAGUGAGGGGCACCAGGGUCAGACACAGCCUAGGAUGGCCAGGCAGGACCAGGGAGAUGGGUACAGGCUGGGGCCCAGUGUUACUGGGGUUGGGACAGAGGUGAAAUGGGGUCCUGGUGCAAGGGUAAGGUGAGGAGGUCUCAGGUGGAACUUGUCAGGGUCAUUAAGGCCCAUAAGUGCCAUCAGGAAGAGCAGGUUGUUUCCUCAGAAGCUAGGCUGCAGCUUGGUCAUCACAGACGUGUCAGGAGCUGCGUGGGAGAGCUCGGAACCCAGGCUGCCUUCCCUCCCUCCUCUGGAGCGGGGUGCCCCUGCAUGGGCUGAGGUCUCUACGACCCCUGUACUGGACAGAAAACCAACUCUUAGUGCUUGGAGGAGUGAAAGACUGGUGUAACUGCCUUCCUCUUUGGUUGGGGGCUUUGCCAGCUGCUGGCCGGCGAGAGGACAGUGCUGCUUUCUGAGGUAGGCUGAUGGUUUGGUGGGCUUUGGCGCAACAGAAUACCAAAGAGCUUCUUGGUCUUUGUGUUAGCUGAUAAAAGAAGUGAACAGUCUCAUUUCAUGUUUUAUUGGUCAGUGUAAUGAUGAAAGUAUAGAGGUGCUAUUUGUGAGCUGUGUCUGGUGCAGGGAACGUGCUCUCCGCCACCGGCGGAGUCACACUGUAGCUGGGUUUGUCCGUGCAUCUGUAAGAAUUUAAACGGUGAGGAUUAUGCUCGUUGCGCCAGGAAAGCAAGUACACGGCCAAAUCCUGAUCUCAGUUGCACGUGUGCAGCUCCCAAGGCAGUAGGGUUGCAUUCUGGCUCGGCACAUGGCCUAAUGAGGUCUUGCAUGAGUGCAAAUAACAUGGAUGGCACACGGGAGAGCAAGCGAACAACUGUUCCUUGUUUUGCUGUGUUCUCUGCUCUGCAGCAUCUGGUUUGCUUCAUCAUUUUUUAAAAGCAAACCACAAAUAUUUUUCACUAGGGAACUGAGAAAUAACAGUGUACAUUUUUUAAAAAGGUUUAGAGGGGAUAAAAGUGAUUUUUCUGGUGUGUAAAGUGCUUAUGUUUGGAUUUGAGCAUUAAUUCACAGAUUGUCUCUUAUUGUUUUGUUCCCAGCUUGGGAAAUCCUAUGGGGUGUUCUCCCUCAGGAAAUCACAUGGGGCGAUGUCUUAGCUUGAUUUAUUUUUAUUUGUGUAUCUAACUUUGCACAGAAUUGUCUUUCACAGCAGCAUUUUUUUAUGGAGAUUUGUAUUUCUUGUAAAAUUCAGCAAACUGGGGACUUUUUAACAAUUUAUCAAUGGAACUUCAAAUGAAAUUCAUUGUGACUUUGUAGAUCCGCUUGAUACUGGUUUGGUGGGAGUGAUGUAGUAAACUAAGUAGCUAUUUUAAAGGGCUGUGGUCAGAAGACUAUAUUAUGUUUUUCAGUCUUAAAACAGCUGCUUGAGAGAAAUGUAUUCUGGCAAAUAGCAGACUACAUGGAUAGAUGGAGGCAGGGUUAGCCUUGACACUAGUCUUAGUCCUUCUCUAAUACUUGUAUUUCUGUAGUACUUUCUGUCAUUGCUUCUAAAUCUUUUUUAUAUAUACAGUUUUCUAAUGGCUCAAGUACAUACUGUGAAAUCAUGACAAUUAUGUGAAAAUUAUGAAAAUUUGUGAAAUUAUAGGGUUGGGAAGGGGACCUUUCUAAGUUUGCUGAAAUAAUGUGAUUCAAUCUUAGAAUGGUUUCUGUUAAAAGGGGCCAGGAAGGUCAUCUAGUCCAAGCCCCUGUCAAAGCUAAGAUUCUAGUAACUUUAGAGGAUACCAAGAUAGAAGGUCUUGUUUGGGUUCCUGCUGUGAAGAAUUGUAGAAGUUCUCUGUUCUAUGCAAGCUUUUCUGUAUGACCUUUAAAAAGAAAAACCUUUUAUGUUCUAUGCUUGAGUAGCAGUAAUUUUUAGACUAUGAGAAAGGCGUAUCUUUGUUUACAUCAUGGUAAAAUAUUGCUGAAGUGCUUGAAAGGCUUCAUGUAGGCUUUAUUACAAAGCUAGUUUUUCUUUUUAUAACACUUAUCUUUCUGUUAAUGUUUCUGAGUGUAUAUAUUAAAUCUGUUUCACAACUUUUUCUCCAAUAAUUCUUUCACUAUAAUUGGAUUGCAUAUUUUCCACUGUUGUGCAGUAUAAUCUAAGUAUUGGGUACUGAAAUGUAUAUUACUACUUUCAAGACUUUGAUUGUGUCACAAGAAUUAAUUAGAAUUAUAAAUUAUUACAUAAGUCUCCUGUUCUACAGUGGGAGCUUUAGUGAAAUACUGGCACUGGAUAAUUAGCUGCUCUGAUCUGUGAUUUUGGCUUUGAAUAGCCCAAAGAAGUUUUGAUGUUUCCUUUCCUGAAAUAAACAAAACAAGCUUACAAACUGUCAGAAAAUAACAGUAGUUCUUAAAAGCUAAUCAUUACCAGCCUUUGUCAUGGGAUUGUAAUUGUUUCAUGAAUUCUGCUUCAAUCAGGAAAAAAUACGCUUAAGUGCUAAUAAAAGUUUUUAUGCUGCUAUGAUUUCCUUCUGCCUCAUCUUCCUCCUGUCAAUUUAUGGCUUUAUUCCACUGUCUCUCUGUUACUAAGCAACACUGUACAUGGUUUUAAUGCAAAUGACUUCAAACUCUCCGAUAGUGAGGCAGAAUAACAUCAGGUUAAUUUCCCGAUUAAUGCAUGCUACAAAGAAGUGCUGUCCACCAAGAAAUCCCAAAUGAUGAUGGCUGGGAAGCUGCUUCAUGGCAUAAGGAAACGAAAUAUUUAAUUUUGGGUACUUUUUAGAUUGUCUUGUCUGUACUUAAACCCACUUGUCUAAGCAGAUGGAUCAAAGGCUUGGUUCUAUUAUAUUGACUUGAUCUGCUCUGUGUUGAGCCACCGAUUGUACAGUGUACGUACCAUGAUGAUUCACGUAGUUUUCUGUGGCUGCAUGCUCUAUUUUCAUCCCUAUACAAGAGGAGAUAAAAUGAUUGUUCAGAUACUAUUUUUGCUCCAUUUCGAAAGUUAGUGGUAACCUGUGAGACGGUUUAGAACUGAAUGUUGUAUUUUCAUUCAAGCCAGUAGUGAAAUUCCAGCUGACAUCAGCAUGAACACAAUUCAACCAGUGUUGGUGCUUGUUUGAUAAAUUUCUCUUGGGUGCCACAGUGCCACUCUUUGUAUUUUAAAGCUGUGCAUUGCAGGCGAUUACAUAUUUCUCUUUUUUUCCAUUAUCUUAAAAAUCUCAUUUAUUAGGCUACCAAUUGGUAUCUUGUCCACACAGCAAUACCCUUUUAGAUGGAAAUAAAACAGAUUUCAGUACUGCACUAGAGAGAUCUUAGGAGCGGUGUGUUGUUUGCUCACAGGAGCAGCUGUGACUGGUUUAUGGCCAGUGUUUGCAGAACUUCUUUGACUUUACUUCUCUAAAUCAAUAGCAAUGCCUGCCAUUACAAGGUGGAAUUUGGAAAUCUAAAUGUCAAAGGGUUUGAAGUGUACUUAAGUGCAUAUUUGCAGCUUUGAUCCUGUAACGCCUGAAGAUUUAUACCUUUCAAACAGCCUGAGGUAAUACUGAGCCUCGUGACAACUUCUGCCUUUUACACAGGCUUUUAGUUUGAAAUCUACCCAUAUUAAAUGUAGAGAAAGUAGUAGUAUAUAAUGCAGCUCUAGGAACAACAUCUGCAUUGACCCAUCUUCAAAUGUUUCUUGUUCUGUGUAUUUUUGUUGGUGUUUUUUUUUCCCCUCUGUUUAAAAAUAAUUUUAUCUCCUGUUACUUAGAGGCCCUCUGAAGGAGAAAGAAAUACUGAAAUGACUGCCAGCAAAAUACUCUUGAAUGCACAGUCAGCAAAAUGAAUGAAAACUAGUUUAAAUUUAAAAAUGGUUAAAUGGUGAUUCAAAACUUGUGCAUAGGAAUGGUUGUUUUCAUUUGGUAGAGACCUCCUGAGAGAAUUGCACUUGUGAACGUGCACACAGAAGUGCUUUUGGUAAAUCAAACAAUUCUCAAAUUUAAAGCGUAUGGAGAAAGUCUUAGAUUCCUUUGUUUUCUGUGAAAACACACUUUUAAAAACAAUGUAGAAUUAACACAGUUAUGGACCACAUCCUUAGUACUGCCCAUGUGUUUUUCUCUAUAGUUAUAGUGAUCUUAACAGCUAUGCAUGAAAUACUUUCUGUGGGUUGGGAGAAGAAUAUAUGGUAGAAAACCCCAAAAGUUAAAUGCAGACAUGAUUAACUAAAUAGAAGGCUUUUCCAAAUAAAAACAAGCCAUUGUGUAUUUUAGUGCAUAUUUGCAGUUUGUUGGAGUGCAGGAGUGGCAUGCGGGUGAUAUGUGCUGGAUGGCAGUCAGCGUUAUAUAUCAUUAGUAAAUGUAACACUGCAGGCAUUGCAGGUAUUUAAUUGUAGCUGAAAUUUAAGGAUGUCCCCAUGUACAGUAUUUUUUUUUCAGGAUGCCGUUGCUUCCGUGGCUGUAUCUGGCUGGAGGGGUAAAUCUUAUCUGCAGUAAGUGAAAUUGGAUUCUGUUAGUGUGCACUGAGCACACUAAUACUGUGCAAGUUUGAAUAUUGGUGGUGAUAUUCUGCUUAUAGCUGGCAAUUAUGGAGCUUUGGUGUUGAUCAGCUUCUCCUGUGAUAUGGGCAGAUCACAAAUCAAAUGAUAUUGCAGGAGAGAGGUAGUCAUGUUCUGUCAUGGAAUAAUUUUGUCAAAAUAUUUGAAUUAAAUUGGCAGAAAAUUUAGCCUUUAAAGAGCUCCAAGAGAAGCAGCGAAGUGUAAGGAAAAAACUAUCUUGCACAUAAAUUUUGUAGACUACUUUUGGGCUGGAGGUAAGAGGUCAAAACUGGAAUAUAUCUCUACAUAUUUGUUUGUUUUUAAAAUGUACUGUAUACUUUUCUGGUGUCUUGAUGGUGAUUCACUUCCCCGUUUAAAUCCAAUGCAUACUUGUGGGUCGCAGGAAUGAAUAUUGAUAUAUUGGUAGUGAUCUGUCAAGGUCUUGAAACAUAUUUGAUGUGCACAUUAGCUGCAAGUCCCACAAGAAAACAGAAGAUAGAUGCUUAAGAGACGCUAGGUAAAACAUUUAUCGGAGUAUAUUACUUGGUAGAAUAUUAACUAGACUUGAUCAAUAAGUACAAUGUAUUUUUCCAAUAAAGAUUUAAAGUUUUCUUUAAUCGGAAACUGAGUCACAAACAUUGUUGAUCAAAACAAAAUUACAUACGACUUCAGAAUUUCUGGGGUAUAAGCUGUACAGAUAAUGUACAUUUUCAUUUAGAAUCCAGUGUUCUCAUCAGAGACUGUACUUUGCUCUGCUACCUGUGCUGGGUGCCAAAGCUAAAAACAUAGCCACUCGUUGGUUUGAGAAACAAAAUGGGCACAACAAUCUAACCAUAUGGUAUGAAGAUUAAGUUAAACAAACACUUAUUUAAAGUUACUUCAGAUCAUUUAAUAUUUUCGAUAUUUCAAAAUACAAUCAGUCUGAUGUAGAUGUUUCUGUGAAAAAUGCUUACUUUUUGCACACUUAGAGAGAAACCUGUCUAAAAUGUGACAACUCUUUCUGAAACAGAGCAGUGCAUCUCUACGGUCUACUCUUGUGUAAAAAUUACAGAUGACAACAUAGAAAGCUAUCGGAGAUCAGCAGAGAACAAGUUUUGCUGGAUUUAACAUGUAUACUAUAAUCUAGUAUAUAAUGUAAAGUAUGCUUUCCUGCAUGCUGCUUUAAUAUCUAAUCAUAUCACAAAAUCCAGGUUCAACAUUUACUCUUUAGUAGGUGAAAUUACAUCUCAUGUACAUUUAUUUGUGACCUGUCUUUGAAAGUUAUCCUUCAAAUCAUAGACAUUCCCUCAGUUUAUAGGUUCUCCUAUACAAAAAUGGGCUUUGGGUCUGCAGAUUUUUAUCACGGUUGGACCUUUUUUUACAGUGCAAAACUGAAUCUUACGAAAGCUUGAAAAAAGCUAUUAAUGUAAUAAAAAGUUGUGAAAACAAACUUCAGUUUUAGACAUUUCAGUAUUUCAUAGCUGGUCAGCACAAUUAAAUAUACAUAGCAUUGCUAUAACAUAUGCUAUAUUUUUGUGAAAUUAUACUUUUGGCUUGGUUUGGGGAUUGGUGUAUUCAUGUAUUGUCUGAUAAACUAAACAGGAGUAGUUCAGACUGGGUAGGCAAAGCUCACGUAAGUCUAUGCAGCAUGUGGUCGUCCUUUCCUGGGCAUAUAAUUAUCUGAUGGGUUUCUAAUGCAUGAUUUAACUUUUUUUAAUUGGAGCAAAUUCAGUAGUGGCAAAUUGGCUGCUAAUAAUUUCUACUCGUCCAUUUACUAAAACAUUUCUGGUUAUUUAUUUACUUUUAUAAAAAGAUCCGAGAUUGCACAUAUGCUUGAGAGCAUUAGUGACACAUCAAAUUUUUUACUCUUUUUGCUUUAUUUUCAGUAGGAGAGAAGCUCUUCAGCUUACUCUGGUUAAAAAGCAAUCUAUUUUUUUAUUUAAUGCAGAGUGAAAUACAUUUGCAGUUUUUUAUUUAUUCAGCAACAGUCUCUGCUCUCCACCGUAUUCUAACAAUUUUUUCACCCUCUGAUUAGGCUGUAAAGCUUCAAGGGAUUGUAUGCGUCUCCAUAGGUACACCAUCUCCUGCACCAGGGCCUGUGCUUGACUGUAGCAUCAAAGCACUACCAAUAUAUAAAGCUGAGGAAUAAUUAAAAUACAUAGAAAAUAAGUAAGUUAUUCAGUAAAUAAGCUCUAAGAAUUUCAUAGGCCCAGCCUUUAAAUGUUUUUCACUUUUUUCCAGUGUGUAACACUAUAAAACAGAGUGGGGUUUACUAGGGAUAUACAAGAUUAAAUUCAGUUUUAUUUUCACAGAAAUUUGAAAUGGGAAAAUGUGAUCCAGUCUUUUGGCAAAAAAAAGCGUACUAAUCCUCUGUUAUUAUGCUGGAACCUGAUCCUGUUUCCACUGAAGCCACUGCACAAUGCGGCACUGCUUGGAAACACUAAAGCUUAUUUAGAAUAAGUAGAUAUAUUUACAUUGAAUACUCAGCUACAGGCAAGGCUGAGUAUGGCUUUUCAGGGCCAUUAUUCAUAAUGUAAUGUGAUCCUGUAUUUGGCACUAUUCUUGGUAAAUCUGUCCCUAUAAUUUAAUUUAACUUCUAAAACGUUAAGCCUAAAUUCUGCUUUAAAAUCUAUCCUGUAUAUAUGAAAAUUAGCAAUUUUUUAAGUACCCACCCCAAGGAAACUUUAUUAGCUCAGCCAGUUCUGGGAAACAAAUUACUGAACUGCUGUACUACAUGUGAUUUUGGAGCAAGGUGGAUAUCCUUUCCACUAUUUGAGAUGAACAGACUGUUACUGCAACCUAAAGUUUAGGGAGAGCUGGGUUAGAUUUAGGAUUGAAAGGAAUGAGGAAUGGUGGUAUAAAUGUUACAGCAUUAAAUAGAAAUACUUUGGUAAGGAUGAUAUUGCCUAAGGUACAUAUCUAUAGAUAUCCUGAUAAUAACGUAGUACUUACAGUAAUACAGAAGUGUAUCUCUUUGCUUGGAUGGAUUAAUACAGCAGUGGAGAUGACUUUCACAAAGACAUUGAUUGAUGUAUAUAGUUUCAGUAAUACUUCAGAGAAUAAAUUCUUACACGACAGUAGUAAACUUCUAUAAUAUAAAACUAAUUCUAUUGAAAUAGAAAACAUUGACAUCCACCACUUCACAACUGCACAGAAAUAUUUAAAAGAAAAUCAUAUCUAGUUCUUGCUACUUAAUUGACCAAGUACUUUUAAAGCUUCAGACCAUGGCACUAGUCCAAAAAGAUCACACAGUGCUGUUGUCAAACGCACCCUGUAUCUAUUUUUUGAGUUUCUAGACACAUCUGCAGAACUCA